CCCGAUCAUCCAUCACCAGCCAUUGUCGGCCUCCGCAGCCUCAGAAGCAGCAACACGUGCUAUUUUGUCUUCCCCUCGGCGUUGAUAUCGCCGCUCUGGGGAAUCCACAGAAUCAGCAGCCGCCUCCGCGGCCACGUGGUCCUCACCUCUCGUUUCUUUUGCGAGCGUGACCAAACUCCAAAAGGUCCGCUGCUCCAGAAGCCCACGCUUUUGCACAACCGUCGCUCACGUCGUCAUAUCGAUGCGGUGCUUCCUCUCAGAAUUAAGGCCACGCAAUGGAACAGCAGCCAGGGGGCCGUGAGGUGAAAUCAACAUGUCUCUGGAUGAGCAAUAUCGGGAAACGAUUGGCAGAGCUUCGCGUCCCGGCAACAGGACGUCGCACAUGUUGGGAUGCGGCCUGGCAGGAGAUUCUCCAUUGCUGCUGCUAUUCUAGAUGAAUUGGACGCGCUGCAGGCCUACUCCCUCCCCCCCCCCUCCCCCCCUCAUAGAAACGACCCGCACAGCCUCAUUUCACUGUAAUCCCUCCUGUCUGCACUGGGAGCUGCGAGGUUUUGGCUCUGUAAACUUUUCUCAUUUCCAACUUUUUCUGCAGGUAUAUCAGCUGUCAGAAUUCUUCGAGGCGUAGUUGGAAAGGUGGCGCGGGAGGAGCAGGUACGGCACCCAGCAGACUGCCAUGUUUUUUCGCAGGAAGGAGGAAAAUCGCUGAGUCUCACAACUGUUUCAAUCCCUAUAAAGUCCAAACAUCUGAUGCGAUUUAGGACGCUGACAGAGAAUCGCCAAGGGAGCGCCGACAAAGUGUUGGGACCCUUUUUUGUCGGAGGCGUCCUGCACCGAAGGCCCCUGCGGACGUACGCGAUCACCUUUCCCCCACUCUGUUUGUUUAUGUCUUAUUAAUGUUUGCAGAUGGCACAACGGCCAAAUGACUCUGCAGCCGGUGAUUUACCGCGUGUAAAUAUGGCAGGAGGGCGACUCUCUGCCAACGCCCUCAUCCAUCAAACCCUUUGCGACCGGGAUGCGAUAAUGGGGAAAAUGUGGCAAUAAUUUAGGGCUUUUUUUUGGCAUUUUUCCUCUUUAUUUGGUUACUCCGUCCGGUCUUUUUGAGCAAAUAAACGUGUUCCAUCCAGUCCACUUAUUACUGUAACUGCAAAAUUCCGCCCUGGUAAAGCCUGAGUGUAACAAGCAUAACAUUUUC
Long non-coding RNA from Gasterosteus aculeatus aculeatus (three-spined stickleback), 1192 nucleotides. NCBI's taxonomy places the organism in Eukaryota, Metazoa, Chordata, Actinopteri, Perciformes, Gasterosteidae. The record is from Ensembl.